CACAUAUGUUCUCAUAAAAAAGAGCCAUCUCAGAACUGCAAGCUGCAUGGCACACACAACCCCAGAUUCACCCAGCAGGCGUUUGUAAGCAUCUGCAGGUUUCUCUAGAAUGUCAGUCUGCUCCCUAAAUCUCACAAGUAAAACUCUUUAGUACCUUCCCAUUGCCCUGAAGAUAAAGCCCACUCUUCUGCCCGGGGCUCACAACCCCUGCCUGUUGCCUCCUGCCCUUGUCUCCAGCCUGGUCUUUUAUCUGUCUGCUCAUCAUACAUGUUAUUUUCAUUCCCUCGGUAUCUAUGCUGUCACCCUGCUCCUAUGCACAUGGUGCUCCCUCCACCCGAAACACUCUUCGCCUUUCUUAUCACCUGAUGUAUCUUUCAGUUCUGAGUUUACAUGUCACUUCCCCCUAGAGGCCUUCCCUGACCCAGCCCCCCAGCCUUCAGUAGAUGAGCCUGUCUCACGCUUCCCUGUGUGUCUGGACCACCCCAGCAUCAUCACUGGGGUUUGAUGUUGGCUGGCUACCUUUGUGUCUCCCCCAGGGGAGAUCCGCGAAUGUGAGACCGUGCCCCUCUGGAGCACCACGUUCCCAGUGUGUAACCUGCUGCCUGGCACAUGGUUGUGCCUGGCAGGUCUUUUUUGAAUGAGUGAAGUGCCAGGUACCAUGAGAAAACCCUAGCUGGUAAAGAUCAAACCUGAGUUAGUUCUAAAUUCACAUACGGAUUUUUUUUUGCAUGACGAAAUCUAUUCUCUUUUUCCUGACAACUUCUCCACCUAGAUGUUUGGGAAAGUUGCCAUGAGAGAUAACAACCAGAUCAAUAGGAACAAUAACUUCCAGACGUUUCCCCAGGCGGUGCUGCUGCUCUUCAGGUGUGCAACAGGUGAGGCCUGGCAGGAGAUCAUGCUGGCCUGUCUCCCAGGGAAGCUCUGUGACCCUGAGUCAGAUUACAACCCCGGGGAGGAGUAUACAUGUGGGAGCAACUUUGCCAUUGUCUAUUUCAUCAGUUUUUACAUGCUCUGUGCAUUUCUGAUCAUCAAUCUGUUUGUGGCUGUCAUCAUGGAUAAUUUCGACUAUCUGACCCGGGACUGGUCUAUUUUGGGGCCUCACCAUUUAGAUGAAUUCAAAAGAAUAUGGUCAGAAUAUGACCCUGAGGCAAAGGGAAGGAUAAAACACCUUGAUGUGGUCACUCUGCUUCGACGCAUCCAGCCUCCCCUGGGGUUUGGGAAGUUAUGUCCACACAGAGUAGCGUGCAAGAGAUUAGUUGCCAUGAACAUGCCUCUCAACAGUGACGGGACAGUCAUGUUUAAUGCAACCCUGUUUGCUUUGGUUCGAACGGCUCUUAAGAUCAAGACCGAAGGGAACCUGGAGCAAGCUAAUGAAGAACUUCGGGCUGUGAUAAAGAAAAUUUGGAAGAAAACCAGCAUGAAAUUACUUGACCAAGUUGUCCCUCCAGCUGGUGAUGAUGAGGUAACCGUGGGGAAGUUCUAUGCCACUUUCCUGAUACAGGACUACUUUAGGAAAUUCAAGAAACGGAAAGAACAAGGACUGGUGGGAAAGUACCCUGCGAAGAACACCACAAUUGCCCUACAGGCGGGAUUAAGGACACUGCAUGACAUUGGGCCAGAAAUCCGGCGUGCUAUAUCGUGUGAUUUGCAAGAUGACGAGCCUGAGGAAACAAAACGAGAAGAAGAAGAUGAUGUGUUCAAAGUAAUUAUUCCACGCCUAGCUACACACUGGCCAUCUGGAAAUAGCAGGGCAGGACUCCAGUUUGGGCAGUUAAUCAGCCACAGAAGAGUCUGGAGAAUGCAGCCCAUCCCCAGGGCCUAGAGGGGCUUUCAGACCACACCCUCCCCCUCUUACAGACCCUCCCCAGGCAUCAGCACCUCUUCUAGGGCCAGGCCAGCUCUUUCCCUGAGCUUACCCAGCUUCCCCUCACUGCCUGCUUCUGAGGAGCUCGGCCACAGCCGCUGGCCCUGUGGAUGAGCAUCCUGAGUCCUUCUGGCAGCUGCCUUUGCUACCCUCCUCCUUCCCGGGCCAGCUCUUUGAUCUGCCAGCUGGCUGUCAGUCCCCCAGCCCAGAGAGCAUGCCCAACCUUGGGGCCACCAGCCAGCCCAGCUGGGUAUAAGUCACCCCAACUUGGAGCAACUGGAAGAGCACACUCGAGUGACAGCCGACAGCUUGCUCCCCAGCUCAGGAAAUCGCAGGAAAUUCGGUGUGUCAUAACCAUCAUAACCAUAAUUCCAUAGGAAAGCAAGUUCCCACCUCAACAAAUGCCAAUCUCAAUAAUGCCAAUAUGUCCAAAGCUGCCCAUGGAAAGCGGCCCAGCAUUGGGAACCUUGAGCAUGUGUCUGAAAAUGGGCAUCAUUCUUCCCACAAGCAUGACCGGGAGCCUCAGAGAAGGUCCAGUGUGAAAAGAACCCGCUAUUAUGAAACUUACAUUAGGUCCGACUCAGGAGAUGAACAGCUCCCAACUAUUUGCCGGGAAGACCCAGAGAUACAUGGCUAUUUCAGGGACCCCCACUGCUUGGGGGAGCAGGAGUAUUUCAGUAGUGAGGAAUGCUACGAGGACGACAGCUCGCCCACCUGGAGCAGGCAAAACUAUGGCUACUACAGCAGAUACCCAGGCAGAAACAUCGACUCUGAGAGGCCCCAAGGCUACCAUCACCCCCAAGGAUUCUUGGAGGACGAUGACUCGCCCGUUUGCUAUGAUUCACGGAGAUCUCCAAGGAGACGCCUACUACCUCCCACCCCAGCAUCCCACCGGAGAUCCUCCUUCAACUUUGAGUGCCUGCGCCGGCAGAGCAGCCAGGAAGAGGUCCCGUCGUCUCCCAUCUUCCCCCAUCGCACGGCCCUGCCUCUGCAUCUAAUGCAGCAACAGAUCAUGGCAGUUGCCGGCCUAGAUUCAAGUAAAGCCCAGAAGUACUCACCGAGUCACUCGACCCGGUCGUGGGCCACCCCUCCAGCAACCCCUCCCUACCGGGACUGGACACCGUGCUACACCCCCCUGAUCCAAGUGGAGCAGUCAGAGGCCCUGGACCAGGUGAACGGCAGCCUGCCGUCCCUGCACCGCAGCUCCUGGUACACAGACGAGCCCGACAUCUCCUACCGGACUUUCACACCAGCCAGCCUGACCAUCCCCAGCAGCUUCCGGAACAAAAACAGCGACAAGCAGAGGAGUGCGGACAGCUUGGUGGAGGCAGUCCUGAUAUCCGAAGGCUUGGGACGCUAUGCAAGGGACCCAAAAUUUGUGUCAGCAACAAAACACGAAAUCGCUGAUGCCUGUGACCUCACCAUCGACGAGAUGGAGAGCGCAGCCAGCACCUUGCUUAAUGGGAACGUGCAUCCCCGAGCCAACGGGGAUGUGGGCCCCCUCUCACACCGGCAGGACUAUGAGCUACAGGACUUUGGUCCUGGCUACAGCGACGAAGAGCCAGACCCUGGGAGGGAUGAGGAGGACCUGGCGGAUGAAAUGAUAUGCAUCACCACCUUGUAGCCCCCAGCGAGGGGCAGACUGGCUCUGGCCUCAGGUGGGGCGCAGGAGAGCCAGGGGAAAAGUGCCUCAUAGUUAGGAAAGUUUAGGCACUAGUUGGGAGUAAUAUUCAAUUAAUUAGACUUUUGUAUAAGAGAUGUCAUGCCUCAAGAAAGCCAUAAACCUGGUAGGAACAGGUCCCAAGCGGUUGAGCCUGGCAGAGUACCAUGCGCUCGGCCCCAGCUGCAGGAAACAGCAGGCCCCGCCCUCUCACAGAGGAUGGGUGAGGAGGCCAGACCUGCCCUGCCCCAUUGUCCAGAUGGGCACUGCUGUGGAGUCUGCUUCUCCCAUGUACCAGGGCACCAGGCCCACCCACCUGAAGGCAUGGCGGCGGGGUGCAGGGGAAAGUUAAAGGUGAUGACGAUCAUCACACCUGUGUCAUUACCUCAGCCAUCGGUCUAGCAUAUCAGUCACUGGGCCCAAUAUAUCCAUUUUUAAACCCUUUCCCCCAAAUACACUGCGUCCUGGUUCCUGUUUAGCUGUUCUGAAAUACGGUGUGUAAGUAAGUCAGAACCCAGCUACCAGUGAUUAUUGUGAGGGCAAUGGGACCUCAUAAAUAAGGUUUUCUGUGAUGUGACGCCAGUUUACAUAAGAGAAUAUCACUCCGAUGGUCGGUUUCUGACUGUCACGCUAAGGGCAACUGUAAACUGGAAUAAUAAUGCACUCGCAACCAGGUAAACUUAGAUACACUAGUUUGUUUAAAAUUAUAGAUUUACUGUACAUGACUUGUAAUAUACUAUAAUUUGUAUUUGUAAAGAGAUGGUCUAUAUUUUGUAAUUACUGUAUUGUAUUUGAACUGCAGCAAUAUCCAUGGGUCCUAAUAAUUGUAGUUCCCCACUAAAAUCUAGAAAUUAUUAGUAUUUUUACUCGGGC
Molecule: small RNA, 4397 nt
Filed under: Pan troglodytes (chimpanzee)
Lineage: Eukaryota; Metazoa; Chordata; Mammalia; Primates; Hominidae
Description: retained intron
Source: RNAcentral